This 495-nucleotide ribosomal RNA is filed under the name uncultured bacterium. Its description in RNAcentral is "bacterial SSU rRNA". It matches the Rfam family "Bacterial small subunit ribosomal RNA", at positions 28 to 524 of the family's 1533-position model. The record is from RNAcentral.
GAUGAACGCUAGCGGGAGGCCUAACACAUGCAAGCCGAGCGGUAGAGAUUCUUCGGAAUCUUGAGAGCGGCGUACGGGUGCGGAACACGUGUGCAACCUACCUUUAUCUGGAGGAUAGCCUUUCGAAAGGAAGAUUAAUACUCCAUAAUAUAUUGAUUGGCAUCAAUUGAUAUUGAAAGCUCCGGCGGAUAGAGAUGGGCACGCGCAAGAUUAGUUAGUUGGUGAGGUAACGGCUCACCAAGACGAUGAUCUUUAGGGGCCUGAGAGGGUGAUCCCCCACACUGGUACUGAGACACGGACCAGACUCCUACGGGAGGCAGCAGUGAGGAAUAUUGGUCAAUGGGUGCAAGCCUGAACCAGCCAUCCCGCGUGAAGGACGACUGCCCUAUGGGUUGUAAACUUCUUUUGUAUAGGGAUAAACCUACCCUCGUGAGGGUAGCUGAAGGCACUAUACGAAUAAGCACCGGCUAACUCCGUGCCAGCAGCCGCGGUAAU